AUACGUAGGGGGCUAGCGUUAUCCGGAAUUACUGGGCGUAAAGGGUGCGUAGGUGGUUUCUUAAGUCAGAGUGAAAGGCUACGGCUCAACCGUAGUAAGCUCUUGAAACUGGGAAACUUGAGUGCAGGAGAGGAAAGUGGAAUUCCUAGUGUAGCGGUGAAAUGCGUAGAUAUUAGGAGGAAUACCAGUGGCGAAGGCGACUUUCUGGACUGUAACUGACACUGAGGCUCGAAAGCGUGGGGAGC
RNAcentral lists this ribosomal RNA (245 nucleotides) under uncultured bacterium. RNAcentral describes it as "partial 16S ribosomal RNA". It matches the Rfam family "Bacterial small subunit ribosomal RNA", at positions 523 to 769 of the family's 1533-position model. The record is from RNAcentral.